GCGCCUGUAGCUCAGCUGGAUAGAGCAGCGGACUUCUAAUCCGCAGGUCGUACGUUCGAGUCGUACCAGGCGUGCCA
This 77-nucleotide transfer RNA is filed under the name Nitrospinota bacterium. RNAcentral describes it as "tRNA-Arg". It matches the Rfam family "tRNA". Rfam says of the family: Transfer RNA (tRNA) molecules are approximately 80 nucleotides in length. Their secondary structure includes four short double-helical elements and three loops (D, anti-codon, and T loops). The record is from RNAcentral. Lineage: Bacteria; Pseudomonadati; Nitrospinota.